GAUUAAUGUCAUGUAUGUCUACUUUAAUACUCAGGGACCGUGUAAAUUUUGAGAAAAUAACGAUAACCAAACAUUAUAAGUAUCGAUCUACUGUUCCCACUUCCAUCAAAUACAUGUAGUGAAAAAUAAAAAGAAACUGGCCGUAAAUAAAUUGGCAAUAUAAAAUAGAGAAAAUGUCCCCCACACCUUUCCCCCCAACAAAAAAAAAAAAGAAGAAGAAUAUCGAAUAUUGAUUACAGGAGCUACAAAGAGGAAUAUAAUAAGAGAAG
This 269-nucleotide long non-coding RNA is filed under the name Mytilus galloprovincialis (Mediterranean mussel). Lineage: Eukaryota; Metazoa; Mollusca; Bivalvia; Mytilida; Mytilidae. The record is from RNAcentral.